RNAcentral lists this ribosomal RNA (351 nucleotides) under uncultured bacterium. RNAcentral describes it as "partial 16S ribosomal RNA". It matches the Rfam family "Bacterial small subunit ribosomal RNA", at positions 338 to 706 of the family's 1533-position model. The record is from RNAcentral.
CCUACGGGCGGCAGCAGUGGGGAAUAUUGCACAAUGGGGGGAACCCUGAUGCAGCGACGCCGCGUGAGUGAAGAAGUAUUUCGGUAUGUAAAGCUCUAUCAGCAGGGAAGAAAAUGACGGUACCUGACUAAGAAGCCCCGGCUAACUACGUGCCAGCAGCCGCGGUAAGACGUAGGGGGCAAGCGUUAUCCGGAUUUACUGGGUGUAAAGGGAGCGUAGACGGGUGUGCAAGUCUGGAGUGAAAGGGGGGGGCCCAACCGGCGGACUGCCAUGGAAACUGUAAAGUUGGAGUGCAGGAGAGGUAGGCGGAAUUCGUGGUGUAGCGGUGAAAUGCGUAGAGAGUAGGAGGAA